GACGAACGCUGGCGGCGUGCCUAACACAUGCAAGUCGCGCGAGAAAAGGGGGGUAACUCCCUGAGUAAAGCGGCGCACGGGUGAGUAACACGUAGGUAACCUACCCCCGAGUCCAGGAUAACCUGCCGAAACGGUGGGCUAAUACCGGAUAUGACCACGGGAGCUUCGGCUCCUGAGGUGAAAGGUGGCCUCUGCUCGCAAGCUACUGCUCGAGGAUGGGCCUGCGCGCCAUAGCUAGUUGGUGGGGUAACGGCCCACCAAGGCGAUGAUGGCUAGCUGGUCUGAGAGGAUGGCCAGCCACACUGGGACUGAAACACGGCCCAGACUCCUACGGGAGGCAGCAGUGGGGGAUAUUGCGCAAUGGGCGAAAGCCUGACGCAGCGACGCC
RNAcentral lists this ribosomal RNA (388 nucleotides) under uncultured bacterium. Its description in RNAcentral is "bacterial SSU rRNA". It matches the Rfam family "Bacterial small subunit ribosomal RNA", at positions 28 to 398 of the family's 1533-position model. The record is from RNAcentral.